UGUGUGUGUGUGUGUGUGUGUAUAUAUGUGUGUGUAUAUAUAUAUAUAUAUAUAUAUACAUACAUACAUACAUACACACACACACACACACACA
This is a non-coding RNA of Pelobates cultripes (western spadefoot toad), 94 nucleotides long. The record is from the annotation of a GenBank genome assembly. Lineage: Eukaryota; Metazoa; Chordata; Amphibia; Anura; Pelobatidae.